RNAcentral lists this ribosomal RNA (270 nucleotides) under uncultured archaeon. RNAcentral describes it as "partial 16S ribosomal RNA". It matches the Rfam family "Archaeal small subunit ribosomal RNA", at positions 477 to 747 of the family's 1478-position model. The record is from RNAcentral.
CAGCACCUCAAGUGGUCAGGAUGAUUAUUGGGCCUAAAGCAUCCGUAGCCGGCGCUGUAAGUUUUCGGUUAAAUCUGUACGCUCAACGUACAGGCUGCCGGGAAUACUGCAGCGCUGGGGGGUGGGAGAGGUAGACGGUACUCGGUAGGAAGGGGUAAAAUCCUUUGAUCUAUUGAUGACCACCUGUGGCGAAGGCGGUCUACCAGAACACGUCCGACGGUGAGGGAUGAAAGCUGGGGGAGCAAACCGGAUUAGAUACCCGAGUAGUCC